CAAUAGCGUAUAUUAAAGCUGUUGCGGUUAAAAAGCUCGUAGUUGGAUUUCUGUCAAGGACAACUGGUCCGCCCCUCGGGCGAGCACAUAGUUUGGUCUUGGCAUCUUGUUGGAAACUGUUGCUGCACUUGGUUGUGUGGCGCAGUGUCCAGCACUUUCACUUUGAGGAAAUUGGAGUGUUUCAAGCAGGCACAUGCCUUUGGACACAGUAGCAUGGAAUAAUUAGAUUGGGCUUUUGCUCCAACUUGUCGGUUUCUGGAGCUGAGGUGAGAAUUAAUGGGGAUUGUUGGGGGCAUCCGAAUUUAGCCGUCAGAGGUGAAAUUCUUGGAUCUGCUAAAGACGGACAACUGCGAAAGCGUUUGCCCAGGAUGUUUUCAUUGA
This 381-nucleotide ribosomal RNA is filed under the name uncultured eukaryote. Its description in RNAcentral is "partial 18S ribosomal RNA". It matches the Rfam family "Eukaryotic small subunit ribosomal RNA", at positions 592 to 976 of the family's 1831-position model. The record is from RNAcentral.